Molecule: long non-coding RNA, 401 nt
Organism: Cydia pomonella (codling moth)
Lineage: Eukaryota; Metazoa; Arthropoda; Insecta; Lepidoptera; Tortricidae
Exons: 2
Source: RefSeq, a predicted model, not a curated record
ACUAGGGUAGACCGGGGACAAUAGAAACACGUCAUGAUUGAAACAAGUCAAAUUUCUCGAAAACUAUAAUACCUACGCGUCUGACGUAACACUCGGAACACGCGGUCGGCCAUGUUUGAAUCCUUGGCCAGUAGCCUUCGAGCGCCGGUGCGAGACGGGAGUGUCCACGAGCCAAACCAGUUUUUCGCGGUAAAAAAUGCCCCGAAAACGGAAGCAUGUUACGGAGAGAACCUCAAAAAGCAUGUUUGCCAUUUUAGCAACAACCGACUGCUGCCAACCGGCUGAUUAAACAAGUCGGCCACUGCUAAAAUUUAUAUCAGAGAGAGUUAAGGAUUUUUUUUUGAUAGGCAUAUCGCCAUGUUUUUGUUUACGUAAUAAAACAAUUUAUACUGAUUAUUUUA